This 253-nucleotide ribosomal RNA is filed under the name uncultured bacterium. RNAcentral's name for it is "partial 16S ribosomal RNA". It matches the Rfam family "Bacterial small subunit ribosomal RNA", at positions 524 to 777 of the family's 1533-position model. The record is from RNAcentral.
UACGUAGGAGGCAAGCGUUGUCCGGAAUUACUGGGCGUAAAGCGCGUGUAGGUGGUGGGACAAGUCUGCUGUGAAAGCGCCUGGCUUAACCGGGCGAGGUCGGCGGAAACUGUCCGACUCGAGGACGGUAGAGGGGGUGGAAUUCCCGGUGUAGUGGUGAAAUGCGUAGAGAUCGGGAGGAACACCUGUGGCGAAGGCGGCCCCCUGGGCCGGCCCUGACACUGAGACGCGAAGGCGUGGGGAGCGAACGGGG